GGGGGAUAUUUGCACAAUGGGGGGAAACCCUGAUGCAGCAACGCCGCGUGAGGGAUGAAGGUUUUCGGAUUGUAAACCUCUGUCCUUAGUGAAGAACAAAAUGACGGUAACUAAGGAGGAAGCUCCGGCUAACUACGUGCCAGCAGCCGCGGUAAUACGUAGGGAGCGAGCGUUGUCCGGAUUUAUUGGGUGUAAAGGGUGCGUAGGCGGCUAUGUAAGUCAGACGUGUAAUGCAGGGGCUUAACCCCUGAACUGCGUUUGAAACUGUGUGGCUUGAGUGGAGUAGAGGCAGAUGGAAUUUCCAGUGUAGCGGUGAAAUGCGUAGAUA
This 328-nucleotide ribosomal RNA is filed under the name uncultured Clostridium sp. RNAcentral describes it as "bacterial SSU rRNA". It matches the Rfam family "Bacterial small subunit ribosomal RNA", at positions 355 to 696 of the family's 1533-position model. The record is from RNAcentral. Lineage: Bacteria; Bacillati; Bacillota; Clostridia; Eubacteriales; Clostridiaceae.